UCAUCUUCUCUUUACUUUAUUUGAACAGAGGAGACAGAACUCACCAAAAAUGGUGAAAAGUCGGGCUGUCAUCUAUGUCACCACUGAUCAAGACAGAACGGCUCAUAUGGCCGUUUGAAUUUCAAAUCCCGCCCUGAAAUUAAGCCCUAGAUUUUUCAUUAUAAAUAAUGGUGUUUUGAGGCCAUUUGAGAAAAAACGGGGGCCGUUGCCUUCACCCUUCGAAACCAAAUUCUUGGCCGCUCUUCUCCUAUCUAAAAUUUACUCUUUGCCUAUUAGCUAUCUCCUAAAGAAAAGCUUUAACUACAAGUCUACAACACCUCUACUGUCUCUAUUUGGUAUUUACCAUAGCAGAAAUUUGGUUAUCCUUUAUUUAUUUUAGUCGAGUCUGCUUUUGUCCGAGAGGGAGGAGUAAAGUCGAGAUCGAAGUUCGAUAGCGCAUCCACGACCCUCCUCAGUUCACUGCCCUGCAAAAGCAAAUGGAGUCUUAAUUCGAGACUCUCGCAGCGGAGUCUCAUAGAGACUCAACGCUACCACCACCACAUGGAGUCAUUGCAUACCAUCUUCCUUAGAGCACCGGAUAGCGAGAAAAACAAGCGAAAUGCUUGGGGAAGCCUAUGGCAUCUUUCAUUCAUGCUAUUUGACAUUUACUUGUGUGAUUUAAGUUUAUCUCCAAUUUCUGGGAUUAUAUGUUAAAAUUCGUGUUAGCAUAGUAUGUUUACUCUUAUUGUCGAUUUGGUACUA
Long non-coding RNA from Nicotiana tabacum (common tobacco), 741 nucleotides. RefSeq lists it as uncharacterized. NCBI's taxonomy places the organism in Eukaryota, Viridiplantae, Streptophyta, Magnoliopsida, Solanales, Solanaceae. The record is from RefSeq and is a predicted model, not a curated record.